Molecule: ribosomal RNA, 492 nt
Filed under: uncultured bacterium
Lineage: Bacteria
Description: partial 16S ribosomal RNA
Rfam family: Bacterial small subunit ribosomal RNA
Source: RNAcentral
AGUGAACGCUGGCGGUAGGCCUAACACAUGCAAGUCGAACGGCAGCACAGUAAGAGCUUGCUCUUACGGGUGGCGAGUGGCGGACGGGUGAGGAAUACAUCGGAAUCUACUUUUUCGUGGGGGAUAACGUAGGGAGACUUACGCUAAUACAGCAUACGACCUACGGGGGAAAGCAGGGGAUCUUCGGACCUUGCGCGAUUGAACGCGCCGAUGUCGGAUUAGCUGGUUGGCGGGGUAAAGGCCAACCAAGUGGACGAUCCGUAGCUGGUCUGGGAGGAGGAUCGCCCACCCGGGAGCUGGGACACGGUCCAGACUCCUACGGGAGGGAGCAGUCGGCAAUGUUGGGCAAUGGGGGCAAGCCUGGUACAGUCGUCCCGCGUGUGUUAAGGAGGCCUCGCGUUUGUAAUGCCCGUUUGUUGGGAGAGAACAGCAGCAGGUUAUUACCCCGCUGUUCUGACGGUACCCAAUAAAGAAGCACCGGCUAACUUCGUG